This 461-nucleotide ribosomal RNA is filed under the name uncultured bacterium. RNAcentral's name for it is "SSU rRNA". It matches the Rfam family "Bacterial small subunit ribosomal RNA", at positions 26 to 518 of the family's 1533-position model. The record is from RNAcentral.
AGAAUCAACGCUGGCGGCGUGCCUAACACAUGCAAGUCGAACGAGAAAGUGGAGCAAUCCAUGAGUAAAGUGGCGCACGGGUGAGUAACACGUGACUAACCUACCCUCGAGUGGGGAAUAACCUCGGGAAACCGGGGCUAACACCGCAUAACAUCUACGGAUCAAAUGCGUAAGCAGCUUUAGGAGGGGGUCGCGGCUGAUUAGCUAGUUGGCGGGGUAAUGGCCCACCAAGGCAGUGAUCAGUAGCCGGCCUGAGAGGGCGCACGGCCGACACUGGAACUGAAACACGGUCCAGACUCCUACGGGAGGCAGCAGUGGGGAAUUUUGCGCAAUGGGGGAAACCCUGACGCAGCAACGCCGCGUGGAGGAUGAAGCCCCUUGGGGUGUAAACUCCUUUCGAUCGGGACGAUUAUGACGGUACCGGAUGAAGAAGCACCGGCUAACUCUGUGCCAGCAGCCGC